AGAGAGAAGGAGGAGAGAAGAGAAAGAAAAAAAAAUAAAAAAAAAUGUAUUUGCAGGUACUGCUUUGCUGCGCCUCGUGAGAGAAGAAGAGAAGAGGAGGAGAGGAGAGAGAGAGGGAGGAAAAAGAGAGAGAGAGAGGAAGGAUGAGUGAAAUACCUGAGGUUGUGCUCUGAUGGACUUCUCCAGCAGCUGUGGCGUGAAAUGGAAACUUAGAGCUUAGGGUUUUUUAAACUUCUGCUAUUUAAAAAAAAAAAUAAAGCAUAAAAAAACAAAAAUGUAACCGUUAUUUCAUCAAGUCGUUGCCUCUGUCGCCUUGUGCUCCUCUGUCUUUUCUUUUUGGGUGCUCACCUCACAGAAUCCAGGCGUGCCUGAGCCAGGCAAAGUGUCACUGGCUCACCUCACCUCACCCAGCUGCUCACCUGACACCUUUUUUCGCCUUUAGCAACACUGGCUCUAAAUAUGCAUCUUAUGACCAUAAUAUCGUGCUUGACUGAAUAUUUACUUUUGUAAGGAAAAUAGGAUUGUUUGACUGCUAUUAUUCAUUUUGCAU
This 550-nucleotide unclassified non-coding RNA is filed under the name Hevea brasiliensis (rubber tree). The record is from RNAcentral. Lineage: Eukaryota; Viridiplantae; Streptophyta; Magnoliopsida; Malpighiales; Euphorbiaceae.